UACGAAGGGGGCUAGCGUUGCUCGGAAUCACUGGGCGUAAAGCGCACGUAGGCGGACUCUUAAGUCAGGGGUGAAAUCCUGGAGCUCAACUCCAGAACUGCCUUUGAUACUGAGGAUCUUGAGUCCGGGAGAGGUGAGUGGAACUGCGAGUGUAGAGGUGAAAUUCGUAGAUAUUCGCAAGAACACCAGUGGCGAAGGCGGCUCACUGGCCCGGUACUGACGCUGAGGCACGAAAGCGUGGGGAGCAAACAGG
RNAcentral lists this ribosomal RNA (253 nucleotides) under uncultured bacterium. Its description in RNAcentral is "partial 16S ribosomal RNA". It matches the Rfam family "Bacterial small subunit ribosomal RNA", at positions 524 to 776 of the family's 1533-position model. The record is from RNAcentral.